UACGUAGGGGCUAGCGUUAUCCGGAGUUACUGGGCGUAAAGGGUGCGUAGGUGGUUUCUUAAGUCAGAGGUGAAAGGCUACGGCUCAACCGUAGUAAGCCUUUGAAACUGGGAAACUUGAGUGCAGGAGAGGAGAGUGGAAUUCCUAGUGUAGCGGUGAAAUGCGUAGAUAUUAGGAGGAACACCAGUUGCGAAGGCGGCUCUCUGGACUGUAACUGACACUGAGGCACGAAAGCGUGGGGAGCAAACAGGAUUAGAUACCCUGGUAGUCCCUCGAG
Molecule: ribosomal RNA, 277 nt
Filed under: uncultured prokaryote
Description: partial 16S ribosomal RNA
Rfam family: Bacterial small subunit ribosomal RNA
Source: RNAcentral